AUCCGGUUCGGGCGCAGGGCCGCCGGGCGCGGAGGCAGCCAUGGUGCGGUUCAAACACAGGUACCUGCUCUGCGAAGUGGUGUCUGAUGACCCCCGCUGCCGCCUGAGUCUGGAGGACCGAGUGCUGGGCGGCCUCAUACGGGACACGAUCGCCCGCGUGCACGGGACUUUCGGCGCGGCCUCCUGCUCCAUCGGCUUCGCGGUGCGAUACCUCAAUGCCUAUACUGGAAUAGUGCUACUUCGAUGCCGGAAGGAAUUCUACCAACUUGUGUGCUCAGCUCUUCCUUUCAUCACAUACUUGGAGAACAAAGGACACCGUUACCCGUGUUUCCUCAACACCUUACACGUGGGAGGUACAAUUAGAACAUGUCAGAAGUUCCUGAUUCGUUACAACAGGAGACAGCUGUUGAUCUUAUUGCAGAACUGCACUGAUGAAGCAGAACGGGAAGCUAUCCAGAAGUCUGUCACCAGAAGCUGUUUACUAGAGGAGAGAUCAGAUGAGGAGGAGCUUUCAGACAAUGGCGGUGAGGAGGAGGCUGCUGAAGCAAUGGAGUGAACCUCUCUGCAGGCUGUGCUGGGCCUGAGAUUCAGGGCCCACUUGUUGGAACAGGACAUUCUGGAAGGCAGCAGCAUCUGCUAGUUUGCCAAAAUGGAUGACUGCAGACCAGAGGCCAAGGGCUGGAACACCCUCAUGCACCCAGGACAGUUCCUGUCCCAGGAUUUCUGAACCUCUUUCUUAAAAGAAUGACAGGUAAAGCUAAGCCCAACUCGGGAACCCCUUAGGCCUGACAGUAGGAAAGACACUGCCCCGUGUCGGCAGAGUGCUCAAGCUUGUAGCAGCUAUUACUUUAACCUAUUUAAGAAGUGUGUCUAGGGGCGCCUGGGGUGGCUCAGUCGUUAAGCGUGCUGCCUUCGG
Molecule: non-coding RNA, 916 nt
Organism: Callorhinus ursinus (northern fur seal)
Lineage: Eukaryota; Metazoa; Chordata; Mammalia; Carnivora; Otariidae
Source: RefSeq, a predicted model, not a curated record